This 402-nucleotide ribosomal RNA is filed under the name uncultured bacterium. RNAcentral describes it as "bacterial SSU rRNA". It matches the Rfam family "Bacterial small subunit ribosomal RNA", at positions 356 to 774 of the family's 1533-position model. The record is from RNAcentral.
GAGGAAUAUUGGGCAAUGGACGAAAGUCUGACCCAGCAACGCCGCGUGAAGGAUGAAGGCCUUCGGGUCGUAAACUUCUUUUGAGGGAGACGAGCAAGGACGGUAUCCCUCGAAUAAGCCACGGCUAACUACGUGCCAGCAGCCGCGGUAAAACGUAGGUGGCGAGCGUUAUCCGGAUUCAUUGGGCGUAAAGAGCUUGUAGGUGGUGCGAUAGGUUGGACGUGAAAACUCCGGGCUUAACUUGGAGAGGCCGUUCAAUACUGUUGUGCUAGAGGGCGUCAGAGGGAAGUGGAAUUCCUGGUGUAGCAGUGAAAUGCGUAGAUAUCAGGAGGAACACCCGUGGCGAAGGCGGCUUCCUGGGACGUACCUGACACUGAGAAGCGAAAGCUAGGGGAGCAAACG